CCUACGUGUGGCAGCAGUGAGGAAUAUUGGUCAAUGGCCGAGAGGCUGAACCAGCCAAGUCGCGUGAGGGAAGACGGCCCUACGGGUUGUAAACCUCUUUUGUCGGGGAGCAAAGCGAACCACGUGUGGUUCAUUGAGAGUAACCGAAGAAAAAGCAUCGGCUAACUCCGUGCCAGCAGCAGCGGUAAUACGGAGGAUGUGAGCGUUAUCCGGAUUUAUUGGGUUUAAAGGGUGAGCAGGCGGAGGUGCAAGUCAGCGGUCAAAUUGCGGGGCUCAACCCCGUACUGCCGUUGAAACUGCAUCCCUUGAGUGCGCGAGAGGUAUGCGGAAUGCGUGGUGUAGCGGUGAAAUGCGUAGAUAGGACGCAGAACUCCGAUUGCGAAGGCAGCAUACCGGCGCGCAACUGACGCUCAUGCACGAAAGCGUGGGUAUCGAACAGGAUUAGAUACCCGAGUAGUC
RNAcentral lists this ribosomal RNA (459 nucleotides) under uncultured bacterium. RNAcentral's name for it is "partial 16S ribosomal RNA". It matches the Rfam family "Bacterial small subunit ribosomal RNA", at positions 338 to 795 of the family's 1533-position model. The record is from RNAcentral.